This 1294-nucleotide ribosomal RNA is filed under the name uncultured Bacillaceae bacterium. RNAcentral's name for it is "partial 16S ribosomal RNA". It matches the Rfam family "Bacterial small subunit ribosomal RNA", at positions 11 to 1336 of the family's 1533-position model. The record is from RNAcentral. Lineage: Bacteria; Bacillati; Bacillota; Bacilli; Caryophanales; Bacillaceae.
GUUGGAUCCUGGCUCAAGGCGAACGCCGGCGGCGUGCCAGCGACAUGCGAGUCCCGCGAACUGCUCAAAACCUUGCUUUUGAACCGUGUGCGGCCGACGGGUGACUAUCACCUGCGCAACCUGCCUGGUAUACUUGGAUAACUUCGGGAAACGAGGGCUAAUACCUGAUCUCCCUUCUCUUCUCAUGAAGAGAAGUUAAAAGAUGGCUUCGGCUAUCACUUACACAUGGGCCCGCGGCGCAUUAACUCUUUGGUGAGGUAAAGGCUCACUUCGGCGACGAUGCCGCCCCGACCUGAGAGGGUGAUCGGCCACACUGGGACUGAGACUGGCCCACACUCCUACGGGAGGCAUCUUGAUGGAAUCUUCCACACUGGACUCGAGUGUCAUCGACCUUCUCCUCCUGAGCGAAUAAGGUCUUCUGAUCAUGCACCUCUGUUAUUACGUAAUAACAAGUACCGUUUGAAUAAGGCGGUACCUUGACGGUACCUAAUCAGAAAGCCACGCUAAGUACGUCGCCCAGUCCGCGGUAUCUGUAGUGGCGAGCGUUGUCGGAAUUAUGGGGUAAAUCGCGCGAUGGUGCUAGUUCUGAUCAACACGCGUCCCGGACGAGUCAUUGAGAUGGUGGAGGUGAGUACAGAGAGAGUGGAAUUGCGUGUACACGGUGAAUGCGUAGAGAUGUGGAGAACACCAGCUGACGAAGCUGCUCUUGUCUGUAACUGACGCUGAGAGCGUGCGAAGCGUGGUAGGAACAGAUAAUACUGUAGUCCGCCGAAACGAUAGUGUAAGUGUUCCAGAGUUUCGCCUUUAGGCUGCAGCAAACCAGUAACACUCCGAUGGGGUACGCCACAGGCGAAACUCAAGGACAGUGACGGGCUCGCAUCAAGCAGAUCUAGUCAUGGUGCAUUUACAUUGAAUGCAACAGCGCAGAACCUACAGAUCGUGACAUCCUGUAUCAGUAAUAGAGAUAGGACGUUCUCAUUCGGUGGUCAGAGGUACAGGCGGCGCAUGGUUGUGGUCAAAUCAGGUCAUGAUAUGUGGCAUUAAGUCCGGCAAGGAGGGCAACCUUUGAUUUUAGUUGCCGGCCUUUAGUUGGACAGCCUAAGGCGAUAUGAUUCGACAAACCGGAGGAAGCAGGGGAAGACGUCAAAUCCUCAUCCCCCUUCCAGGCAGGUAGCACCGACCAUCAGGGACAUGGUACAAAGGGCAGCGAAACCUCGAGGUCGAGCCAAUCCCAUAAAACCAUUCUCAGUUUCGAUUGCAGGUAGCAACUCUCGUGCAUGAAGCGGGAAUGGUU